AUUGAACGCUGGCGGCAGGCCUAACACAUGCAAGUCGAGCGGUAACAGGUCUUUCGGGAUGCUGACGAGCGGCGGACGGGUGAGUAACGUCUAGGGCUCUGCCCAUUCGAGGGGGAUAACGCGGGGAAACUCGCGCUAAUACCGCAUACGCCCUACGGGGGAAAGGUGCUGAAUUGGAUGGCUAAUGGAUGAACCUAGAUCAGAUUAGCUAGGUGGUAGGGUAAAGGCCUACCAAGGCGACGAUCUGUAGCUGUUCUGAGAGGAUGAUCAGCCAAACUGGGACUGAGACACGGCCCAGACGCCUACGGGAGGCAGGAGUGGGGAGUAUUGGACAAUGGGGGCAACCCUGAUCCAGCCAUGCCGCGUGUGUGAAGAAGGUCUUCGGAUUGUAAAGCACUUUAAGUUGGGAGGAAGGGGUGUAGUAAUGACACAUCUUUGACGUUACCGACAGAAUAAGCACCGGCUAACUUCGUGCCAGCAGCCGCCGUAA
Molecule: ribosomal RNA, 490 nt
Filed under: uncultured bacterium
Lineage: Bacteria
Description: partial 16S ribosomal RNA
Rfam family: Bacterial small subunit ribosomal RNA
Source: RNAcentral